CCUACGGGUGGCAGCAGUGGGGAAUAUUGCGCAAUGGGCGAAAGCCUGACGCAGCGACGCCGCGUGAGGGAUGAAGGUCUUCGGAUCGUAAACCCCUGUCAGCAGGGAAGAAAGGUCCAUGUGCUAACCAGCAGUGCAUUGACGGUACCUGCAAAGGAAGCACCGGCGAACUCCGUGCCCGCAGCCGCGGUAAUACGGAGGGUGCGAGCGUUAAUCGGAAUUACUGGGCGUAAGGCGCUUGUAGGCGGUAUGUCAAGUUACGGGUGAAAUCCCCGCGCUCAACGUGGGAACUGCCUUUGAAACUGGCAAACUGGAGUGUGUGAGAGGAGAGUGGAAUUCCAGGUGUAGGAGUGAAAUCCGUAGAGAUCUGGAGGAACAUCAGUGGCGAAGGCGACUAUCUGGCACAUAACUGACGCUGAGGAGCGAAAGCGUGGGUAGCAAACAGGAUUAGAUACCCGAGUAGUC
Molecule: ribosomal RNA, 465 nt
Filed under: uncultured bacterium
Lineage: Bacteria
Description: partial 16S ribosomal RNA
Rfam family: Bacterial small subunit ribosomal RNA
Source: RNAcentral